GGAUCCAGACUUUGAUUAUGGCUCAGGAUGAACGCUGGCGGCAUGCCUAAGACAUGCAAGUCGAACGAGAUGGCCCAUUGAAGAUUGAGUGCUUGCACGAUUUCCGAUUUGGAUUCUCCAUCUAGUGGCGGACGGGUGAGUAACACGUGGGUGACCUACCUUUGAGUUUGGGACAACUACUGGAAACGGUAGCUAAUACCAAAUAAUAUACAGUUUCGUUUCUGUAUUAAAAGGCGCUUUACAGCGUCGCUCUUAGAUGGGCCUGCGGCGUAUUAGCUAGUUGGUGAGGUAAUGGCUCACCAAGGCGACGAUGCGUAGCCGGACUGAGAGGUUGAUCGGCCACAUUGGGACUGAGACACGGCCCAAACUCCUACGGGAGACAGCAGUUAGGAAUAUUCGUCAAUGGGGGAAACCCUGAACGAGCAAUGCCGCGUGAGUGAUGAAGGUCCUUUGGAUUGUAAAACUCUGUUGUAUGGGAAGAACGGUCAGACUAGGAAAUGAGUCUGAAGUGACGGUACCAUGCCAGAAAGCUCCGGCUAACUACGUGCCAGCAGCCGCGGUAAUACGUAGGGAGCGAGCGUUAUCCGGAUUUAUUGGGCGUAAAGGGUGCGUAGGCGGCUUGUUAAGUAUGAAAUUAAAGCCCGGGGCUUAACUCCGGUUCGUUUCAUAAACUGGCUAGCUUGAGUAUGGAAGAGGUAAACGGAAUUUCUAGUGUAGCGGUGGAAUGCGUAGAUAUUAGAAGGAACACCAGUGGCGAAGGCGGUUUACUGGGCCAUUACUGACGCUGAGGCACGAAAGCGUGGGGAGCAAAUAGGAUUAGAUACCCUAGUAGUCCACGCCGUAAACGAUGAGUACUAAGUGUUGGGGUUUCCCAGUGCUGAAGUUAACAUAUUAAGUACUCCGCCUGAGUAGUACGGUCGCAAGGCUGCAACUCAAAUGAAUUGACGG
This 948-nucleotide ribosomal RNA is filed under the name uncultured Bacillota bacterium. RNAcentral describes it as "bacterial SSU rRNA". It matches the Rfam family "Bacterial small subunit ribosomal RNA", at positions 1 to 916 of the family's 1533-position model. Lineage: Bacteria; Bacillati; Bacillota. The record is from RNAcentral.